This is an RNA transcript of Quercus lobata, 743 nucleotides long. It is a transcript of the gene named PEBP (phosphatidylethanolamine-binding protein) family protein, with no coding region annotated. The transcript is spliced from 4 exons. Lineage: Eukaryota; Viridiplantae; Streptophyta; Magnoliopsida; Fagales; Fagaceae. The record is from RefSeq and is a predicted model, not a curated record.
AAUUAAGACUAAGCAAAAUUGUCAAAUUUUGGUAGAUAUGGCUAGCGAUGAGUUCAGGCUGGUAUCACCUGCAAUAAACCAUGAAGGAAGGUUGCCUAGGAAGUACACAGAUGAAGGUCAAGGUGCAAAGAAAAACUUGUCUCCACCACUUGAAUGGUACAACGUGCCUGAGGGAACCAAGACCCUAGCCCUUGUGGUGCAAGAUAUUGAUGCACCAGACCCCAAUGGUCCAAUUGUGCCAUGGACUGUUUGGGUUGUGGUGAACAUUCCUCCAACCUUGAAGGGUCUACCUGAGGGGUUUUCAGGGAAAGAAGAGGAAAUGGAAGGUGACUAUGCUGGGAUCAAAGAAGGGGUCACUGAUUUGAAAGUGCCUGGAUGGCGAGGACCCAAGUUGCCUUCUCAUGGUCAUAGGUUCGAGUUCAAACUUUAUGCAUUGGAUGAUGAGGUGCACCUUGGUAAUAAGGUCACGAAGGACAAGCUGUUGGAGGCGAUUGAAGGGCAUGUGCUGGGAGAGGCGGUCUUGGUGGCCAUUUUCUAAGAGGAAAAAUGUUGUUGGUUUCGUUUUUGACAUUUUAGAAAUCGCAGUCUCUCUUACAGAUACUGGCGUUUUAUACAACUAUAUAUACUCUUUGUAACUCGUGUAAUUGCGAUUUGGCUCGAUUUGCUGCGACUCUUGUCGAGCUUAUACUCUAGCCCAAUAAUGUAUUUCCCACAUUAAUCUAAUACUCCACACAAUUUAGGCA